Molecule: ribosomal RNA, 389 nt
Filed under: uncultured microorganism
Description: bacterial SSU rRNA
Rfam family: Bacterial small subunit ribosomal RNA
Source: RNAcentral
GAGUUUGAUCGUGGCUCAGAUUGAACGCUGGCGGCAUGCCUUACACAUGCAAGUCGAACGGCAGCAUGAUCUAGCUUGCUAGAUUGAUGGCGAGUGGCGAACGGGUGAGUAAUACAUCGGAACGUGCCCUGUAGUGGGGGAUAACUAGUCGAAAGAUUAGCUAAUACCGCAUACGACCUGAGGGUGAAAGUGGGGGACCGCAAGGCCUCAUGCUAUAGGAGCGGCCGAUGUCUGAUUAGCUAGUUGUGGGGUAAAGGCCCACCAAGGCGACGAUCAGUAGCUGGUCUGAGAGGACGAUCAGCCACACUGGGACUGAGACACGGCCCAGACUCCUACGGGAGGCAGCAGUGGGGAAUUUGGACAAUGGGCGAAAGCCUGAUCCAGCAAUG